GCGGAAUGAUAAGAGGGGGGACAACGAGCAGCUCAUUUCACUCUCCGUAGGGGAGGAGAGGAGCAUCUCUAUGGGAAAUAUGGGUGAAAAGACUGCGUGCAGCCCGAUACGGGGAAGCUGAAUGGAUGGGGCCACUGCAACGUCACGCGGAGCCGCAGCCAUGAAGCGGAGGACCGAAGCGCUAGACAACAUUCUGGAGUGCACGCAGCUGGCACGCGCACAUUUAUCAUUGCGAUCCGUCCUACAGAUCGUCGAUGCUAGUGGAUAGGAGUCCCAGUUCAACCCCUGUUGGGUUUUUCAUAUGGUGGAAGAGGACGGGUGGCCGGAGGGGUUGGCUGUUAUCUUUGGUUAUCUAGCUGUAUGAGUGUUAUUCAUUCUUCAUAAAGCUAGAUAACCGAAAGUAACAAGAAUCCCAUUACACACCUGAAAGGCAUCACCCUACCUUGAGAUCUGUACUCCUCCCCUCUCCUCUUCUAUUUCCCUUCCUAAGUCUCCUUCUCUCUCCUCCUCAAUCUCUGCAUCUUAUUGCAAGAUCAAGCUACAAAAUGGCCUCCAUCACUACUGACAGAGAAGACAGACCACACAUCCUUGAUGCCAGGGAAAGGAAAGAGUGAAGAAGCAGGGCAGGUCGGUUGUGUGACUGCCGUCCUGCUGGCGUUGCUGCUCCCCUCCCCUUCGCUGCUCGCCUGCCCCCUUCCUCCCAUCACGAGAUGCAGUUUGCACAAAGCCACCAUCUUAGAGCAUGCGGGCAUUAAAUGGAAGUGGAAAAUAAGCAGGUUUUUAUAGUCAAGUCGAAUAAAGUGACAUCCAUUAAAUGGAGGAUCGGAGCUGAAACAGGCUGAUGGAGUCAAACGGGUCUUUACAAUGCCUGUGCCCCAACAUCAGAUAAAAGACAGCACUUUAAUUGUUCUACAUUAUUUCAGUCUUGGCAUUUUUGAUGCAGUUAUACGGCUGUAUGUUGCGAGUCAAGUGUGUGUGUGUGUGUGUGUGUGUGGAAGAUGAAAUACAUUCUUUAUACGGGUCUGAGUCAAAGCACUCAACAAAUUGUGUAUUUGUACAAAUGCGCACAUUGGGGAUUCUCCAAGUAAAAAGUUUUUAUUCGGGUAGUUCUAUAGUGAAUUUAAUGAGGGUUUUCUAGGAAAUGUCAUUUCAAAGGCCAAUCUUUUAGAUACUUAAAGAGUUUAACAAUCUCAGAUCUAGUUUGUCUUGGUACAAUCUUUAGCAUAAUGCACUUUAUAACACACAAACUGAUUUUUUUUUUAGUUUAGUACUUUUCAAUAUAAAAAAAAAAUGUAGUGGCCUGUGUUCAUUCCCUUACUUAUCUAAUAACCAAUUGCUAAUUAAAUCUAACACGAAUUAUUUAAAAAAUGGUGUGUGAGGCUCUGUAGAUUCUGCAUGUAUGAUUGUGAGACCCACUGCAGCGGUGAACGAUACUGCACUCUGAUUGGACAGCUCAGUGUGUUGUGCAUCACACACUUGUUGGACAGAGAGCUGUUGUCUUUAAUUUCUAUGCAAUUGUGUUGGGCCUGUAAUCACCUGGAAGAGAAGGCAGAUCAGAGCAACUAUUUAUGACAGCAGGUUAAACUUGUUUUAAGGUGAAAGGAAUAUUUAGCAGAAUAUAUAUGAAUAUUUCAUUUCUGCUAAAACUGGUUUCAACAGCAAACGGCGAAGUCAUUGAAUACUGAAAAGCAGCUUCAUCUAGCCUUUUUUUUUUUUUAUAGAAACAAAUUUAAGGGGUAUUAAAUGCUCUAUAAAUGUCUCUCUGUAUUUUGUGUUACAAUCAAUCAUGGCUGUAAAGAAUAUUCAGUUAAAUAUGCAAGUGUUUUACAAAUUUAUUACAAUUUGAAGAGAAUUGUGCAAUCUAUUUUAUAAUUAUUUUUCUUAAAAUAUUUUAAUCACAUGUGCAGCAUUAUCCUUUCAGUAAAACUGAGAUAAUCUGUUUUUUGUUUUCUUGCAA
This is a long non-coding RNA of Carassius auratus (goldfish), 1957 nucleotides long. RefSeq lists it as uncharacterized. The transcript has 4 exons. Lineage: Eukaryota; Metazoa; Chordata; Actinopteri; Cypriniformes; Cyprinidae. The record is from RefSeq and is a predicted model, not a curated record.